AUUCCUUGAUUAGGGCACUUUUGUAAUAACUCUUUGUACCUUUCCCAUGCCUCAUACAAGGACUCAUCAUCCAUUUGUUGGAAGGAAGUGAUGUCGUUCCUCAACUU
Gossypium arboreum is the source of this 107-nucleotide non-coding RNA. The record is from Rfam. Lineage: Eukaryota; Viridiplantae; Streptophyta; Magnoliopsida; Malvales; Malvaceae.